UACGUAGGGUGCAAGCGUUUGUCCGGAAUUAUUGGGCGUAAAGAGCUCGUAGGCGGUUUGUUGCGUCGGCUGUGAAAUCCCGAGGCUCAACCUCGGGUCUGCAGUCGAUACGAGCAAACUAGAGUGUUGCAGGGGAGACUGGAAUUCCUGGUGUAGCAGUGAAAUGCGUAGAUAUCAGGAGGAACACCGAUGGCGAAGGCAGGUCUCUGGGCUGACACUGACGCUCAUGCACGAAAGCGUGGGGAGCAAACAGG
Molecule: ribosomal RNA, 254 nt
Filed under: uncultured bacterium
Lineage: Bacteria
Description: partial 16S ribosomal RNA
Rfam family: Bacterial small subunit ribosomal RNA
Source: RNAcentral